GCUGGGUGCGGUGGCUCACGCCUGUAAUCCCAGCACUUUGGGAGGCCGAGGUGGGUGGAUCACCUGAGGUCAGGAGUUCGAGACAAGCCUGGCCAAUAUGGUGAAACCCCAUCUCUA
This is an unclassified non-coding RNA of Macaca fascicularis (crab-eating macaque), 117 nucleotides long. It matches the Rfam family "Metazoan signal recognition particle RNA". Rfam says of the family: The signal recognition particle (SRP) is a universally conserved ribonucleoprotein. It is involved in the co-translational targeting of proteins to membranes. The record is from Ensembl. Lineage: Eukaryota; Metazoa; Chordata; Mammalia; Primates; Cercopithecidae.